RNAcentral lists this ribosomal RNA (406 nucleotides) under uncultured bacterium. RNAcentral's name for it is "partial 16S ribosomal RNA". It matches the Rfam family "Bacterial small subunit ribosomal RNA", at positions 30 to 526 of the family's 1533-position model. The record is from RNAcentral.
AUUGAACGCUGGCGGCAGGCCUAACACAUGCAAGUCGAACGAGUGGCGGACGGGUGAGUAAUGCUUGGGAAUCUGGCUUAUGGAGGGGGAUAACGACGGGAAACUGUCGCUAAUACCGCGUACCAUAGGAUGAGCCCAAGUGGGAUUAGGUAGUUGGUGGGGUAAUGGCCUACCAAGCCGACGAUCCCUAGCUGGUCUGAGAGGAUGACCAGCCACAUGGGAAGUGAGAGACGGCCCGUACUCCUACGGGAGGCAGCAGUGGGGAAUAUUGCGCAAUGGGGGCAAUCCUGAUGCAGCCAUGCCGAGUGAGUGAAGAAGGCCUUCGGGUUGUAAAGAACUUUCAGCAUUGAGGCGUUACAUACAGAAGAAGCACCGGCUAACUCCGUGCCAGCAGCCGCGGUAAUUC